GGGAAGCGAGACCGGGAGGUUAAGCAAAUCCCAAAAAUAACGUCUCAGUUCGGAUUGUAGUCUGCAACUCGACUGCACGAAGCUGGAAUCGCUAGUAAUCGCGGAUCAGCACGCCGCGGUGAAUACGUUCCCGGGCCUUGUACACACCGCCCGUCACACCAUGGAAGUCUGCAAUGCCCGAAGCCGGUGGCCUAACCACUUAUGUGGAAGGAGCCGUCUAAGGCAGGGCAGAUGACUGGGGUGAAGUCGUAACAAGGUAAC
RNAcentral lists this ribosomal RNA (261 nucleotides) under uncultured bacterium. RNAcentral's name for it is "partial 16S ribosomal RNA". It matches the Rfam family "Bacterial small subunit ribosomal RNA", at positions 1244 to 1500 of the family's 1533-position model. The record is from RNAcentral.